This 425-nucleotide ribosomal RNA is filed under the name uncultured bacterium. RNAcentral describes it as "bacterial SSU rRNA". It matches the Rfam family "Bacterial small subunit ribosomal RNA", at positions 354 to 773 of the family's 1533-position model. The record is from RNAcentral.
GUCGGGAAUUUUGGGCAAUGGGCGAAAGCCUGACCCAGCAACGCCGCGUGAAGGAUGAAAUCCUUCGGGAUGUAAACUUCGCAAGAACGGGAAGAAUAAGUAAGGGUUAAUAUCUCUUACGAUGACGGUACUGUUUGUAAGCUCCGGCUAACUCCGUGCCAGCAGCCGCGGUAAUACGGGGGGAGCAAGCGUUGUUCGGAUUUACUGGGCGUAAAGGGCGCGUAGGCGGCCACCGCAAGUCGACUGUGAAAUCUCCGGGCUUAACCCGGAAAGGUCAGCCGAUACUGCGGGGCUAGAGUGCAGAAGGGGCAACUGGAAUUCUCGGUGUAGCGGUGAAAUGCGUAGAUAUCGAGAGGAACACCUGCGGCGAAGGCGGGUUGCUGGGCUGACACUGACGCUGAGGCGCGAAAGCUAGGGGAGCGAAC